RNAcentral lists this ribosomal RNA (253 nucleotides) under uncultured bacterium. RNAcentral describes it as "partial 16S ribosomal RNA". It matches the Rfam family "Bacterial small subunit ribosomal RNA", at positions 524 to 776 of the family's 1533-position model. The record is from RNAcentral.
UACGGAGGGUGCAAGCGUUGUUCGGAAUCACUGGGCGUAAAGCGCGUGUAGGCGGCUUCCUAAGUCUGGUGUGAAAUCCCGGGGCUCACCCCCGGAAGUGCACUGGAUACUGGGAAGCUAGAGUACCGGAGAGGAGGGUGGAAUUCCUGGUGUAGCGGUGAAAUGCGUAGAUAUCAGGAGGAACACCUGUGGCGAAGGCGGCCCUCUGGACGGAUACUGACGCUGAGACGCGAAAGCGUGGGGAGCAAACAGG